GUCGAGGGGUAUAGGUUUUCGGAUCUAGAGACCGGCGCACGGGUGCGUAACGCGUAUGCAAUCUACCUUUCACAGAGGGAUAGCCCAGAGAAAUUUGGAUUAAUACCUCAUAGUAUAGCAGUUUCGCAUGAAACCACUAUUAAAGUCACAACGGUGAAAGAUGAGCAUGCGUCCCAUUAGCUAGUUGGUAAGGUAACGGCUUACCAAGGCAACGAUGGGUAGGGGUCCUGAGAGGGAGAUCCCCCACACUGGUACUGAGACACGGACCAGACUCCUACGGGAGGCAGCAGUGAGGAAUAUUGGACAAUGGGCGCAAGCCUGAUCCAGCCAUGCCGCGUGCAGGAUGACGGUCCUAUGGAUUGUAAACUGCUUUUGUACAGGAAGAAACACUCCCUCGUGAGGGAGCUUGACGGUACUGUAAGAAUAAGGAUCGGCUAACUCCGUGCCAGCAGCCGCGGUAAUACGGAGGAUCCAAGCGUUAUCCGGAAUCAUUGGGUUUAAAGGGUCCGUAGGCGGUUUAGUAAGUCAGUGGUGAAAGCCCAUCGCUCAACGGUGGAACGGCCAUUGAUACUGCUAAACUUGAAUUAUUAGGAAGUAACUAGAAUAUGUAGUGUAGCGGUGAAAUGCUUAGAGAUUACAUGGAAUACCAAUUGCGAAGGCAGGUUACUACUAAUGGAUUGACGCUGAUGGACGAAAGCGUGGGUAGCGAACAGGAUUAGAUACCCUGGUAGUCCACGCCGUUAACGAUGGAUACUAGCUGUUGGAAGCAAUUUCAGUGGCUAAGCG
Molecule: ribosomal RNA, 786 nt
Filed under: bacterium
Lineage: Bacteria
Description: bacterial SSU rRNA
Rfam family: Bacterial small subunit ribosomal RNA
Source: RNAcentral